CAACUGUCCACGGAGGAUGUGUAUAGGAAAGAGAUCAUCUAUACAAACCUGAGCGCUUAAAUUAGCGUACGAAGUUUUACACUCGUUCUCGUUUAAAUCAGGAAUCAAGCGGAUUGUUUAUAUUAUAUAGACACAAUGCUUGACAUAGUUGAGAUUGAUCCUCUACAUUAGAGGUGAGAAGUUGAUGAGGGAAACAUCUCAGGUAUCUGAGAGCAUAUUAACUCAU
Molecule: ribozyme, 226 nt
Filed under: unclassified sequences
Description: Hairpin ribozyme 1 from viruses-like metatranscriptomes
Rfam family: Hairpin ribozyme 1 from viruses-like metatranscriptomes (bases 152-226)
Source: Rfam by way of RNAcentral